Long non-coding RNA from Leopardus geoffroyi (Geoffroy's cat), 789 nucleotides. RefSeq lists it as uncharacterized. The record is from RefSeq and is a predicted model, not a curated record. Lineage: Eukaryota; Metazoa; Chordata; Mammalia; Carnivora; Felidae. The transcript has 2 exons.
CCGGGCAAAAGCAACCUGUCUCCAUUGUCAUGAAAUCCAUCCGCUUGCCAAUCGGUGGCUCCGGGGAACACCAGCCUCCCUCCCCCUGCCCGGUCCUGGAAAAUUAUCAGGAUUAAAAAUAUCGAACCAGAUGCCUGGAUACAAAGUAACUAAAGCAGUGAAUUCUACAUACGGGACAAACGGAUUUAAAAACAAGUGUUUAAAUAUCAUCUAAAAAGUCAGGCUCCGUGAAGAUAAAAAAUGCUACCAAAUCACCCUCCAGAAAGAUGCACCGGAGACCUCUGCGGUUAAAUAACAUUUCGCGGAGCGUCUUUGUAAACCACCAAAUGAAUGAGUUGAGUUAUAGGCUCAGGUUGGAAAGCCCCCUGUUGGAAAGAUGUCGGUUCGUCCUCAAGCCAUUCAUGGAUUUGAUGCGAUUUCGAUUAAAUUCCCAAUGAGGUUGCCCCAGGCCUGCAGAGGAAGCGCUCGGAGCAUCCGCAAAACAGACGCUGGGAGCAAGGAGUUCCACGCCAGACCUGGGAACCCACCGAAACGCCCACGUGCGCCCUAAAUGCGGGGACACCUGAGCCGCACGAUGUUCGGUAGCCACACAGUGACCACAAGAUGCCGCCUCCACAGGUGGGAUGACAGCAGGACUGAUGAUCCGAUGUGCAGCCUGACCCCGCCGCCAGGUCCGCACCCACGUGGACGCGAUGGGCGCGCAAGCCGACGACACCCUAGUCCCCUCUGGCCCCGUGGGAACUGCAGGGCUUUUCGGAGACAGAUUCGCCUAUAAAUUCAGUAGCAGAG